GCACUGGUCGGAAACCAGUGCGCGUACGAGAAGAGGAG
This 38-nucleotide non-coding RNA is filed under the name unclassified sequences. RNAcentral describes it as "L31-Coriobacteria ribosomal protein leader". It matches the Rfam family "L31-Coriobacteria ribosomal protein leader". The record is from RNAcentral.